RNAcentral lists this ribosomal RNA (253 nucleotides) under uncultured bacterium. Its description in RNAcentral is "partial 16S ribosomal RNA". It matches the Rfam family "Bacterial small subunit ribosomal RNA", at positions 524 to 776 of the family's 1533-position model. The record is from RNAcentral.
UACAGAGGUCUCGAGCGUUGUUCGGAUUCAUUGGGCGUAAAGGGUGCGUAGGUGGCUAGGUAAGUCGGAUGUGAAAUCCCGGGGCUCAACCCCGGAACUGCAUUCGAUACUGCUUGGCUUGAGUACUGGAGAGGAGAUUGGAAUUUACGGUGUAGCAGUGAAAUGCGUAGAUAUCGUAAGGAAGACCAGUGGCGAAGGCGGAUCUCUGGACAGUUACUGACACUGAGGCACGAAGGCCAGGGGAGCAAACGGG